Long non-coding RNA from Cimex lectularius (bed bug), 847 nucleotides. RefSeq lists it as uncharacterized. The record is from RefSeq and is a predicted model, not a curated record. The transcript has 3 exons. NCBI's taxonomy places the organism in Eukaryota, Metazoa, Arthropoda, Insecta, Hemiptera, Cimicidae.
UAUUUGAAGUGUUCACAACAUUAUGUUUAGGUCUUUCUACAAACGAUGUUCCCCCCCCCCAUUGGAUGCAUGUGGAAUAAAUCGUGGCCUGUUGGCCAAAAGCUAAAAUUUUUGUUAAGUUUAUUUUUUAAAAUGUCAGAGUUGGAGAGGACGGCGUUAUCCUUGUAAGUCGGUAUCUUUGAUGGAAUAGGUCGGAGUUUUUAUUGUUCCAGUCGGUCUCUAUGAUCGUUUCGGCAUCUGUUUGCCGUAACACUUCUUCAAAAUUCAAACCCCAUAAAUGUUCAGUGCAUAAAACUAACCCAGUUUCACGAAAAAUAAAUCAUACUAUAAAUCUAACACGAAUAGAUGAAAUAUUAAUAGUAAGCAGGAGAUGACAACUGUCCCCAAAAAUUGGGAUUGUACCGUGCUUUACAUUGUACCUGAAUAUAUAUAUUUUUUUACUAGGUGUUUACGCCAACAGUACAUACGUAAAUAGAUUGUACUUUUAAUCUCAAGCAGCUGUUCUUCCUUUAAUCUCCUCCGCUUACGCGAGCCAAUCUCACUUCUCAUUGAACGAUCCACUCACUCCUUCUAUUCUCUCCGGCGUUUUCGGUAUUUAAACUUGUGCCAGUGAUUUAACUGUUUUUUUGGUUCAACCCGAAAUUAAUACUACCAAGAAAAUUAGCCGAAGCUGUACACCGGAGACUACGACGGACUCGGGACCAAAGUUGCGUCGCCGCUGUGAAUCCGACAAGUUUCAGCAAGUACGUUCAUCGAGGCCAACUGGACACCACAUUGUGAAACGGGAAGGAAAAACUGAAUUUACGUCAUGAGAGGAUCUUCGGAAGAGGUCAAAACAGAGAAAACU